AGUGGCGGACGGGUGAGUAACGCGUGAGAAUCUGCCUUGGGGUCGGGGACAACCACUGGAAACGGUGGCUAAUACCGGAUAAGCCGAUUGGUGAAAGAUUUAUUGCCCGAAGAGGAGCUCGCCUCUGAUUAGCUAGUUGGUGAGGUAAGAGCUCACCAAGGCAGCGAUCAGUAGCUGGUCUGAGAGGACGAUCAGCCACACUGGGACUGAGACACGGCCCAGACUCCUACGGGAGGCAGCAGUGGGGAAUUUUCCGCAAUGGGCGAAAGCCUGACGGAGCAAGACCGCGUGAGGGAGGAAGGCUCUUGGGUUGUAAACCUCUUUUCUCAGGGAAAAAGCUCUGACGGUACCUGAGGAAUCAGCCUCGGCUAACUCCGUGCCAGCAGCCGCGGUAAUACGGAGGAGGCAAGCGUUAUCCGGAAUUAUUGGGCGUAAAGCGUCCGCAGGUGGCGAUUCAAGUCUGCUGUCAAAGCACGGGGCUUAACUCCGUAAAGGCAGUGGAAACUGAAUAGCUAGAGUGCCGUAGGGGUAGAGGGAAUUCCCGGUGUAGCGGUGAAAUGCGUAGAGAUCGGGAAGAACAUCGGUGGCGAAAGCGCUCUACUGGACGGCAACUGACACUCAGGGACGAAAGCUAGGGGAGCGAAUGGGAUUAGAUACCCC
This 660-nucleotide ribosomal RNA is filed under the name uncultured bacterium. Its description in RNAcentral is "bacterial SSU rRNA". It matches the Rfam family "Bacterial small subunit ribosomal RNA", at positions 94 to 788 of the family's 1533-position model. The record is from RNAcentral.